GCCGUGUCCCUCUCUCUCCCGAUGUGGUUGUUCUACACAACAUCGCUUGCGACGACCAAUGCACUGCACCCUUUCUUUUUUUUUCCAUGCGGCAUUGAUCGGCAUGGCAUCGAUUGCGGUUACGAAACAUCACCUCUUUUAUGCCCAUCAGCAGCGGACGAACGGUGACCGACGGCAGGACACUGAUGGCCAUGCUUCCGG
Molecule: long non-coding RNA, 201 nt
Filed under: Elaeis guineensis (African oil palm)
Lineage: Eukaryota; Viridiplantae; Streptophyta; Magnoliopsida; Arecales; Arecaceae
Description: long non-coding RNA (EGUI_LNC015275)
Source: RNAcentral